CUAUCUAUCUAUCUAUAAAUUUCUGUAUAUAAUUGUUACCUAUGGAUCUUUGCUAGUCCCCUGUGAAGUUGUUUAUGUCAGACUAGUCUGACUUGCACAUAAAUAAAUUAAUUUGAUUCUGUUUCUCUGUGUUUAUUCAAAUGCUCUCCUGAAAUAAAGCGUGUUGCUGUGGGGCUGGCAGAGAGGCAGUGAAGGACAGAUGAAGUCAGGUGUUUGUUCUGGUGGGAACAGCAGGUCUCUGUUGCUCCAGCUGUAGCUCUCUUUUAUUUUGGUAUUUUUUCUUCUACCUUCUUUCAGGGAUCUGCUGCUUGCACUGUAAAGCCAUUUGUAAUUGACUGCAGAUUCAAGCCUUGUAUUUCUCUGAAUUUGAAGGAUAUUAGUAAAUAGAUAAGAUGGUACAGAAGAGAGUUGUCAUUGUGUCCUGCCAUGACAGGGGAGCAUCCUAGUGGGAGCAGAGCACUGGAUAUUGUCCAAGGUUUCUGUUGUUUAAAUGUGCUCUGGAAUCCAAGGAAGUGUCCCCAAAGACACAUUUCCCAAACGUGGGUCUCCAUCUGAUGUUCUCCCCUUCUGCACCUUCAGCAGUCACUCAAAGUGUUAUGCUGAAAUGAAUAAUGAAAUAAAAACCAACACACGCAGUAUUUUUUUUUCAAUUCAUACCCUCAAAGUAAAGCUGAAAUGAUGCUGAGGGUCUUUAGAACUCAUUUAAUAACGUGGUGAUUACAUGGCCCCAUUGUUUAAGGAAAAAAUACAGGAGUUAGAGUGUUGGGAAUUUAAAAUAUUUGGAUUAGUUUGUUUUAAAAAGCAAUCUUCUGUGGGAGAAUGGGAAUUGUACCCUACAUCGUAUCCAAGAAACAGGGAGGCUCCUCCAAAGAUUUCAGUGUUCCUCUGAAAUGUUUUUAUGAAAAAUGUCUUUCAGUUUUCAGACUAUUUAUUUUAAUAAGGGUAAAGGUACUAAUGUAGUAAGAGGCAUUAUAGUAAGAGGAACUGUUUGGACGAUUUUGUAGAGAAAGAUUUAUUGAUCCAUAACCUUGUAUUAAUUAGGGAACUGUUUCUAGCCAAAAUGUUGAAUUUCUUGACAUUUUAAUUGAAAGCCAAAUGUGUUUUGAAUUUAUUGUUGUAUUUUGAUUUCUUGAAUUCCCUUGAAAUACUACUUUUAGAGAUUUUUUGGCCUAAUUCCCUUGAUUGCCUUGGCUUUUCCAGCGAUCCCUCCUGUCAUUGUUGGUUCCACUGCCUGGUCGUGUUUUCUCCCCUUGCUGGAGAGAAGAACAGUCACAGGAAGCAUCUCUGGUGGUCAGUGUAAGAUCUCAGCAUAAGUUUUAAAUAGCUGGACAUAAAGUUUGGGACAAAACCUCUGGAUUAACAUGAGAUCCACGGCUGCCUGCGUCAUCAGCCCAGGAAAUGCCUGGCUCAGGUAACAGGUGCUGCUGAGAAACGGGGAUUUUGCAUAUUUGUACAGAUAUAUAUAUCUAUAUAGAUAGAUACGUGUGUGAGUGUGUGUUGGGGGGCUGUUUACAGAAGAGGCCAACUUGUGUGCAGGAGUAAAAGCCCUGUCGUCUUUCCAGGAGGAUGAACAGCUGGGUCUUUCAUCAGAAUAUGUAGUGAUGAGAAUUGGAAUUUUAUCCCUUUGACUCUGGAAAACGCCCCCUGAGUUUCUGAAGGUGUUUCCUUAAGAAACCUGAUCUUCUUGAAGUUAGUGCAGUGCCAGUAAUACUUUACAGUGAAAAUGUAAAAAUCUGUAUUUAUAAAUCCUUUGCUUUAGUUGGAAAAGUAAUCAGUUCUGCAGUGUAUCACAUGCAGAGGGAUAAAGGUCCUACAUGGGAUUGAUGAGGGAAAAAAGGAAAUCUAGUGCCUACGUAGUUUACAGUUUUUUUCUUGUACAGCUGCGUCAAGUUAUGGCAAUAUUCUUUUGGAAGUGCUGUGUAAUUGUAAAAGACAAAGAUCAAAACAAAGCAAUUACUCCUUAAAAGCAAAACCAAAUUAAAUGUGCAGGGAAAGACAUUUUGAAGCCUGUAUUUUGAGCAUUGCACCUUAAACGCAACCUUGAAAACUGCUA
Molecule: non-coding RNA, 2053 nt
Organism: Sturnus vulgaris (Common starling)
Lineage: Eukaryota; Metazoa; Chordata; Aves; Passeriformes; Sturnidae
Source: RefSeq, a predicted model, not a curated record